UACGUAGGGGCCUAGCGUUGUCCGGAAUCAUUGGGCGUAAAGAGCUCGUAGGCGGUUUGUCGCGUCUGUCGUGAAAGUCCGGGGCUUAACCCCGGAUCUGCGGUGGGUACGGGCAGACUAGAGUGCAGUAGGGGAGACUGGAAUUCCUGGUGUAGCGGUGGAAUGCGCAGAUAUCAGGAGGAACACCGAUGGCGAAGGCAGGUCUCUGGGCUGUAACUGACGCUGAGGAGCGAAAGCAUGGGGAGCGAACAGG
RNAcentral lists this ribosomal RNA (253 nucleotides) under uncultured bacterium. RNAcentral's name for it is "partial 16S ribosomal RNA". It matches the Rfam family "Bacterial small subunit ribosomal RNA", at positions 524 to 776 of the family's 1533-position model. The record is from RNAcentral.